Molecule: unclassified non-coding RNA, 339 nt
Filed under: soil metagenome
Description: partial contains 5.8S ribosomal RNA, internal transcribed spacer 2, and large subunit ribosomal RNA
Rfam family: 5.8S ribosomal RNA (bases 3-120)
Source: RNAcentral
GGUGAAGAACGUAGCGAAAUGCGAUACGUAGUGUGAAUUGCAGAAUUCAGUGAAUCAUCGAAUCUUUGAACGCACAUUGCACCUCUCGGUAUUCCGGGAGGUAUGCCUGUUCGAGCGUCAUUUGUACCCUCAAGCUCUGCUUGGUGUUGGGUGUUUGUUCCGCCUCUGUGUGUGAACUCGCCUCAAAACAAUUGGCAGCCGGCGUACUUGUUUCGGAGCGCAGCACAUUUUGCGAUCCAGAUCAACGUACAGCGGCAUCCAAGAAGCCUUAUUUAACGCUCUUGACCUCGGAUCAGGUAGGGAUACCCGCUGAACUUAAGCAUAUCAAUAAGCGGAGGA